ACGGAAGGCAGCAGUGAGGAAUAUUGGUCAAUGGGCGGAAGCCUGAACCAGCCAUGCCGCGUGCAGGAAUAAGGCCCUAUGGGUCGUAAACUGCUUUUGUAGUGGAGCAAUAAGGUCUACGUGUAGACUGAUGAGAGUACAUUACGAAUAAGCAUCGGCUAACUCCGCGCCAGCAGCCGCGGUAAUACGUAGGGAGCAAGCGUUAUCCGGAUUUACUGGGUGUAAAGGGCGUGUAGGCGGGACAUCAAGUCAGAUGUGAAAGCACGAGGCUCAACUUCGUGUCUGCAUUUGAAACUGACGUUCUUGAGUGUUGGAGAGGCUAACGGAACUCCUAGUGUAGCGGUGAAAUGCGUAGAUAUUAGGAAGAACACCAGUGGCGAAGGCGGUUAGCUGGACAAUAACUGACGCUGAGGCGCGAAAGCGUGGGUAGCAAACAGGAUUAGAUACCCUGGUA
This 454-nucleotide ribosomal RNA is filed under the name uncultured Oscillospiraceae bacterium. Its description in RNAcentral is "bacterial SSU rRNA". It matches the Rfam family "Bacterial small subunit ribosomal RNA", at positions 341 to 792 of the family's 1533-position model. The record is from RNAcentral. Lineage: Bacteria; Bacillati; Bacillota; Clostridia; Eubacteriales; Oscillospiraceae.